UGAGGAAUAUUGGGCAAUGCCCGAAAGGGUGACCCAGCAACGCCGCGUGGAGGAUGAAGGUCGUAAGACUGUAAAAUCCUGUUAGAGGGGAAGAAUAACUAAGUUUGGAGCUUAGUAUGAUUGUACCCUCAGAGAAAGCCCCGGCUAACUACGUGCCAGCAGCCGCGGUAAUACGUAGGGGGCAAGCGUUGUCCGGAUUUACUGGGUGUAAAGGGCGCGCAGGCGGAAUGGAAAGUCAGUGGUGAAAUCCUACAGCUUAACUGUAGAACUGCCUUUGNUACUUUCAUUCUUGAGUUCGGGAGAGAGAGACGGAAUUCCAGGUGUAGUGGUGAAAUACGUAGAUAUCUGGAAGAACACCAGUUGCGAAGGCGGUCUCUUGGUCCGAUACUGACGCUGAGGCGCGAAAGCGUGGGGAGCAAACA
Molecule: ribosomal RNA, 422 nt
Filed under: uncultured bacterium
Lineage: Bacteria
Description: bacterial SSU rRNA
Rfam family: Bacterial small subunit ribosomal RNA
Source: RNAcentral